UGAUGGCGACGGGCGUGAAGAUGACCAGAUCGAGUCUGUAGCGUGUGUGUCCCCCGGCGUGAGCCCGUGGUUGCGUUCGUGGAGUGAAGGAGCUGCAUGCGCAGAGCCGUUGCGAUCUGUUGGAGUCAGGUGCGAUGUGCGCGCGGCUGGAGGGAGUUAGUUGCAAGCUAGCUAGAUGGUUGGCCGGGUCAUGCUAGUGCAUGCAUGGGCUAGCCCGGCGGGUCAUGUGGUCAUGCAUGGAUAUGGAUCGUGCAUGUAGUGGUUAGCUUAGUGCGUGAGUUAGUUGCCGGGUGUGCAGGCCGUGUGGUGUGUGUGCACGGGUAUAAAAACCCCUCCUCCAUGUACUGAUCGAGUUGAGCCGGUGUGUAGCCAUGUAGCCACUGUAAGGAAGAAAAGGAUUGGGGCGUUCGUGCGCCCGUGGCGGCGUUCGUGCGCCGGCCGGAAAAUCUUGUGUCUUCUUCUACCUCUAGUCGGGUGUGAGAGAGGGCUGCGGUUCCAACAAUUGGCAUCAGAGCUUCGAGUUCGGAGGAGCUCGCCGGCGAUGGCGCUCGUCCCGUGCGGCGGCGGAGCACGGUGAUGUCGUGCGUGCGGGGAGCGCGGCGGCCGCGGCGGACCAGCGCGGUGGCGCAGAGGCUGCGGUGGCGCGGCGUGGCUCGGCGGAGGGAAGGCCAAGCUCCGGGACACGCCGGAUCGGCCGCGUUGAUCGCGUCGGAGCGCGAUCAUGGCGCGAGCUGGAGGCGUGCGGAGUGUGGCGAAUAAGCCGCGACGACGGGUCUGGCAUGUCUAGCGCGUGUAUGGGCACGAGCUGGACGCGUCGGGCGCGUCGGGACCGCGGGAGUGGACUGCGUCGAGGCGCUGGACGCCUGGACCUGGUUGCGCAGAUCGCGUACGUGCGCGGCGGGAGCGCGGGACGGGAGCGCGGGGACGUGGGGAGUGCGCGCGAAGGGCACGACGGUCGCGGAGACGAGGAGGUCGCGAAGGACCUGCGUGGUGGCGCAGAGGUCGCGACGGCUCGGGGCGACAACCGUGGAAGGUGCGUGGCACGGAGGCACAGCGUGGCGGCUGCCAUGGCGGACACGGAGGCGGCACACGGUGAGCGUCUGGUGCUGUCGGGCUCGUCGGGCGCGUCGGGUGCGCGCGGGACGUGCGAGGCGCCGAGGGACGUCAGGCGUGUGUCGCCAGCGGAGAAGGAGCUCGGCGUGUGCGCCGGAGUCGUGACGGAGCACGGUGCGACCGGCGUCGUUGCGCCAGGUCGGGUCCGCGGGCUGGGUCACGGUCGUGACGAGAUCGAUGACAGGAGCUGCAACAACUCCGACGACGACGAUGUCAUGGCUUAGGGGGUGAGUGAUGGCAAUAAGCCAUGCACAUGGUGAUGGCGACGGGCGUGAAGAUGACCAGAUCGAGUCUGUAGCGUGUGUGUCCCCCGGCGUGAGCCCGUGGUUGCGUUCGUGGAGUGAAGGAGCUGCAUGCGCAGAGCCGUUGCGAUCUGUUGGAGUCAGGUGCGAUGUGCGCGCGGCUGGAGGGAGUUAGUUGCAAGCUAGCUAGAUGGUUGGCCGGGUCAUGCUAGUGCAUGCAUGGGCUAGCCCGGCGGGUCAUGUGGUCAUGCAUGGAUAUGGAUCGUGCAUGUAGUGGUUAGCUUAGUGCGUGAGUUAGUUGCCGGGUGUGCAGGCCGUGUGGUGUGUGUGCACGGGUAUAAAAACCCCUCCUCCAUGUACUGAUCGAGUUGAGCCGGUGUGUAGCCAUGUAGCCACUGUAAGGAAGAAAAGGAUUGGGGCGUUUGUGCGCCCGUGGCGGCGUUCGUGCGCCGGCCGGAAAAUCUUGUGUCUUUUUCUACCUCUAGUCGGGUGUGAGAGAGGGCUGCGGUUCCAACAAGGGAUACACAUAGCCCCGCCUCUGUUAGUAAGUUUCUGACAUUAAGAGCUUAUUGAAAAUAUGAUUUCUUG
Molecule: long non-coding RNA, 1943 nt
Filed under: Triticum aestivum (bread wheat)
Lineage: Eukaryota; Viridiplantae; Streptophyta; Magnoliopsida; Poales; Poaceae
Description: long non-coding RNA (TAES_LNC020007)
Source: RNAcentral